AGCUUCAGUAGCGUAUAUUAAAGUUGUUGCAGUUAAAAGCUCGUAGUCGCAUUUCUGGUGAGAGGAUCCGGUCCGACCUUAGGGUGGGUUCUUGGAUCUCUCUCGCCAUCCUUGAGUGGUCCUCUCUGGCAUUAGUUUGUUGGAGUGAUAGCCGCUCAUCGUUUACUGUGAGAAAAUUAGAGUGUUCAAAGCAGGCUUAUGCCGUUGAAUAUAUUAGCAUGGAAUAAUAAGAUAGGACCUCGGUACUAUUUUGUUGGUUUGCGCACCAAGGUAAUGAUGAACAGGGACAGUUGGGGGUAUUCGUAUUUCAUUGUCAGAGGUGAAAUUCUUGGAUUUCUGAAAGACGAACUACUGCGAAAGCAUUUACCAAGGAUGUUUUCA
This 381-nucleotide ribosomal RNA is filed under the name uncultured eukaryote. RNAcentral's name for it is "SSU rRNA". It matches the Rfam family "Eukaryotic small subunit ribosomal RNA", at positions 587 to 972 of the family's 1831-position model. The record is from RNAcentral.